AUGGCCAGCGAAGGAAGGCUAGCGGAGGCCCCAUCAUCGGUGGUGGAGCCACGGAUCCCAUCGGGGUUGGGCUCGACCACCCGCAGGAGCAAAACCGCCCCGACCCGCCUCGUUUCCGCGCCUGAGGAGCAGGGAGCAACUCCAAAGCCACCAUGUCACUGCCCAUGGAGGUCCAUCUCUCGAUCCAUUCACCGCCAACGCGGGCCAGCCUCCACCGACGCCUCCCUCUGGCCCAGAUCCACAGCGCCCCGAGGGAGGCAUAGAUCUCGUCGGUGGCCAAUGUAUGCGGCAACCGGGGAUGCACGGCGGGGAGAGAUGGUUUGGAGGGUGGCGCGCGGCGACUGGGGACGCUCGGUGGGGAUAGAUGGUGGAGGAGGGUGGCACGCGCCUCGCCCAGGCCUCCUUCCACGCCGCAGCGGUGGAGUCCAAGCGCUCAUCGUGAGGACGCACAUGCGAGGAGGAUUUGGCGAGCUCCGGCGAGCUCUGACGACGAUUCGUUUGGCUCCGUGUCCAUUAGAGAUAUUUGGUCUAUUGUGGGUCCCACAUGACAGUGAGAAGAGUGACAGAUGGUUUUCUCAGUGA
This 582-nucleotide ribosomal RNA is filed under the name Triticum aestivum (bread wheat). Its description in RNAcentral is "partial small subunit ribosomal RNA". Lineage: Eukaryota; Viridiplantae; Streptophyta; Magnoliopsida; Poales; Poaceae. The record is from RNAcentral.